CAGUGUUUCAAAAAGUUGAUAAAUGGAAAAUGGGCAUUCAGGUAUAAAAUAAGGAGUUAAGAAGGGAAAAAAUGCCUGCAGAUUCCAUGAUGGUCUAAGGCCAUAUAUGAUAAAUGAAAAUUUCUCAGAAAUGCUGACAGGGAAAGGGUUAAAUAUCUCCUAAAAAACUUAGGAAAUUAAAGUCCAGUCUUUUUAAAAACACCUCAAUCUUUGGAUUGAGAAGUUGAAUCAAAAGCAUGAUAAUUAAAUUUACUAAUAACACAAAGUUAUGAGGUAUUGCAAGGGUGAAGGGACAGAUUUUCAAGAUAACCAAUUCGAUUCUGAAGCUGGUCCUUAUUUACCCCUCUGCCUUCCAACUGCAGCUCUGGUUACCCACAUAUUUCCUUUAAUGAGUUACAUAAGGAAGGCCCAUGGACUUGUCUCAGCAGGACAGUUCCAUGCAGGGGCUUCCAAGUGUGUUUUGAAAAGUAUAAAUAUCUUCCAUGAGUCUGCCAUGGUGCCUGGAAUUCUAGCAUCAAUGGAUGUCUCUAAAGUUAGAGCAUGAUUUCUAAUUUGCUAAAUUAUAUGGAAUGUGCUGCCACUUCUAGUGGCUUUUCUGCUGGCACCAGGCAGAGACCAGAGGGAGCCAGAGAAAGGGGAAGGUUGGUCUCUAUACAUCCACCCAUAAACUACAGAACCACCAAUCAAACCUAGUUUAUCUCCUCACCCCCUGUGCUCCCCGAUUAUUGCACAUUGCCUCUUUUUACUCACUGUCCUUCAAGUACGUUUUAAAUCGGCUUCUCCUUUAUACAACCUGAAAUUGGAAGUCAUAGGAACAAUUAAACAUAGGCUUCCUCUCCAUCCAACUCAGACAAACAAUUAUUGAACUCUUUCUUCUGUCGACUGAGCACUAGAAAUCCAAAGAUAAAUAGGAGAUCAGAGUCUACCAAACGAGAAGAUGAAGAGAGUAAAUAGACAAAGUGCUUCAGAGCAUGGAGAAGUGAGUAAUUUAUUUCAUCGGGGACCUGUGGAGGGCCUCCCAGGGAAGGUGAUAUUCGGGUUCAGUCUUGAUAAGUAUGUAGGAUAUCUUCAGGUGAAACAAACGAAAGGCAUUCAAAAGAGAAAAAUAAAAUUACUCCUGGGAUUUAACACAUGAGCCUUUAGCAUCCAAGUUCAGAUGCAUAGUCGUUGAAUAGAUAAUCAUCAAGCACCUGCAGGGUGCCAGACAUUGUGCAAGGUAAGCACUGAGGAUGAAAAUACAGAGAAAACACAGGACAUGAUUUCUGUCCACAAGGAGCUCAUAGGUUUCCUUGAAAACUAUCACUGGGGAAAGCAGGGUCCAGUCAGAGCAGGGGUUUGCGCUUGAGCAGGGCGAAGGUAGGUUCAUAACAUAAGGCAUUGUCUAGAGAAGAAAGCACACAUUAAUAACCUCAAGUGGAGAUCCACACCUUCCAGUGCCAGCAGGGAAGGCUAAGGAUUCCUCAGAAGACACAGGGCAGCAAAGCUAGAGAUAAGACUACUGAAAUGAGGCAGCCCAAGCAACAAAGUUUGGUUGAAACAUACCAAAAAUUCUUAGCUCUGCUCUGUGGCUACUUUUCGAGAAUUUUGUAUUCAAUGAGAAAAGUAUUAUACAAGCCACACUUCACAAAAGAGGCAACUAAGUAAUUUGUCCACAGUUACAGUGCAGGUGUGAAAACUAAGAUCUUUCUUACUCAAAAUCUAUCCUCUUUCUGUAAUACGAAAUUGCUUUUCAAUUUUAUUUCACAAUUUCUCCCAGAGGCUCACUGUUCAACUGGUUUGUCCAUACCUCCUGUAUUACAUGGAUUUCAACAAAAAUCAGGAAUGUAUCAGAAAAAAAAAAAAAAAGUUACUCAGAUGGAACUAUCCUAUAGAGUACUGGCCAAAAUAGAACAGACACUGGUCAGAAUGUCCUAUUUGAGUAACUGCACCAUAAUUGAGAAAUAGGGGAGAUACAAUGUAUCCUUGAGAUACUUAGAUACUUGAGAGGAAAAGUACAUGCCAAGAAUUUCUUUUGACCCAGGAAAUGAAGAUAAUGAUUCAGGAAGAGGAGUGGGUAUUACUGUUUUCUUAGAAGUCAGCGUUGUGCCUGGUCUGUGGUAGGACUCACUAAUUAUUAGUGGAAUGAAUAGAAGAAUGGAUGUCAAGGGAAAGGUGAAAUAUCAGAGAUGCUCAUUUUACCCUACAUAUUGUCAAAGUCAUUUUCUAGUGGUGCUAUUUUUAAUAGUCAUGCCAAGUAUUGUUAGGAUAUAGAGAAAUGAGCAUUUUCUUAUAUUACUAUAGGAAUAUAAAUUGUUUCAGAGAAAAGAUUGGUUAUAUGUAUCAGAAGCUUUUAAAAUAUGUCUCCUUUUUCACAAGAAAUUAUAAUUCUAUUAUUUAAUACUACUGAUAGUUGGAGAGAUUUAUUUACCAGGACGUUCAUUCCUAUUUCCUAUGGUAAAAAUUGCUGACAACCAAAAAUUUCCAACAGGAAAUAGGUCAAAUAAAUCAUGCUAUAAAAGAAUAUUUAAUAACAUGGCAAGGUGUUCACUAUAUAUUCUAGAGUAAAAACUGAAAAUCUUACAUGCAAAAUGUGAAAUAUUAUAUUUUCCUAAAAAUGAAAUAUUUAUGUAUAUAUAUUUAUCUAUAUUCACAACAAAAGACUAGAAGAAUUUGUAGAAAAAUAUUGGUAAUAGCUAUCUCCAGGGGAAUUGGAGUAAUUUUUACUUCCUUCUAUGUGAUUUUCUGUAUUUUCCAAAUUUUCUACAAUAAAUAUAUAUUUCUUUUACAAAAAGAAAAGAAAUUCACAAAAAUGUAAAGGCAAGCAACAAAAUGAGAAAAAUAUUUUCAAAUUAUAUGAAAUAAAGGGUUAAUGUCCUUGAUCCUCAUCCUUAAAAGAAUGAAUAAAAAGACAUGAAAAGACAAUUCUCAUAAAAGGAAAUAAUAAUGGCUAAAAAACAUAAAAAUAUGUUCAUCUUGGCCAGCAAUCAAAGAAAUGCUAAUUAGAAUAACAAUAUGCUAUACAGAUGUGACUAUUCAUUAUUGAUGAAGUCCCAAAUAAUGAUAUAUUUGAGGAAAGCAAUUUGCCAGUAUGAAUGAAGAGCCUUAAAUAACUCAUAGCUUUUGACCCAAGAAUUCCACUUCUCAGAAUCUAUCCUAGGAAAGCAGUCCAAAAUGGAAUAAACUUUAGAGAUGUGCAUAUCAAGUCACUUGAGGAGUAUUGACUAAGACCAAGAAGAGGAGGGAGAGGAUUUAUACUUUGGUACCAAGACAGGAAGGAGAGAAUGGCACAGUGUGCUGCCCACCCGCGUUAAAUAAAUAUGACCCAUGUAUUAGUCAAGGUUAUGCAGAGAAACAGACCAAAUAGGAUGUGUAUACAUAAAUAUGGAUAUAGACAUAAAUAUGUAUUUAUAUAUAUAUAUGAAGAGAUUUAUUAUAAAGAAUUGGCUUUCACAGUCAUAGAGGGUAGAAAAUUCAAAACCCAGGCAUGCUGUUGACCCAGGAUAGCCAAUGCUGCUGUUCUGAUUUGAAGGCCAGCAGGCUGAAGAAUUCUGUCUUGCUCUGGGUAGGCUGAUCUUUUAGUUCUAUUCAGGCCUUCAACGGACCGGAUGAGGCCCACCCACAUUAGGAAGGGCAGUCUGCUUUACUCAAGAGUCUGCCAAUUCAAAUGUUAAUCUCAUCCAAAACAGCUUCAUAGAAACACCAGGGUAAUGUUUGACCAAAUAUCUGGGAACCAUGGUGCCAGCCAAGUUGACAAAUAAAAUUAACCAACACAUCCUGUGAUGGAGGGGCUGCCAAUGGAAGAUAAAGGAAGUGUCCUUUGGAAGAUCCUUGUCAGGCACAGACAUAAACAAUGUUGCUCUGGGGCCUGAAGGACAAAACCUGGUCAGAGUGGAGAGCGAGGCCUUCUUCUGGUCUUUACAGAGAACACAGCAAUGGUCUGAUGCAAUGAGUACUUAAAGAGUCAGCACCCUUUUGAUACCUCAAACAUUUGCAGCAAUGGGAACUAGGAAACAAGGCCCCCAUCUUCAAAUGGUAAUUUGUUAUGCAGCAAUAGAUAACCGAUACAAUAGUACCUUACAAUACUGAACCUGGUUUUAGACUAUGCUCCUGCCAAAUGGCAAUAGACUAUGAAAGAUUGCCACAUAAGAGUAAAUAUUAUUUAAAUUUUCUUCUCCACUUUGACAUAAAUUACUUUCAAUUAAGUAGCAAUGAUAGUACGCUAAAUCCAAUAAUAGUUGGUUUAUCAUAAAGAUGCACAUUUCUGGUCACUUAGUAAAGCUACUUAAAUGGAAAUAAUAUUUUAGUUAGCUAGCUGGUUAGAUCAAGCUGACAACAACUGAUUUUUUUUUUUAAAGGCACUGGGUGGUGGUUGCUGCUGCUGCUUAUUAUUUUCAUCUUGAUGAACGGAUUUCCCAUAAAUUAAAUGAGAAUCCAUUUUUUUUAAGUGAUAAGUUAUUUGUUUCGCUGAGUACCUCUGAUCUUUUAAAAGUUUAUUUUCCUCCAUUUCUGACAAUUCUGAUUACACUGCUGUCAUUAUAGGUAGGUAUUGGUUUACAUAAUUGGUAGACCCAAUGUUCUACUUUACUAAAGCUAUUAACUCUUAGGUACACUGGUCUGUUAGAACCUGUUUCUAAUCUCCAAUGAGAGCUGUGAAUUGGAAGGUAGACUAUGUUUCGAGAUGUGCAGGAACCCCCUGAACCAGAAAACUGGAUUUUUAUCUUCCUGACCUUCUAUUUAUCCUUUGAAAAGACAGAAGCAAUAUGAACUGUGAAACUAACCUGCUGCUUCAGGUUCCUCUUCUUCCUUCUUAGUGAGCUGUUUUCCUUUCUCCAUUUUCUUUCAACUUUCUUCACUGCUGAAGUCUGAAAAAAAACUUGAUUUUUAUAAGCUUACAAUUUUUUUCAAAAAUAAGUUUCUUUUCCUUAAAUUAGUUGGUCAAUUAAUAUUCAAUGAAAACAAGAUUUUUGAUAUUUAUUGUUCUUACUUUCUUACUUCAGUUAAAUACAGAUACUUGAUACCUGUACACUUAUUUACAGCUGGGUCUUACUGAAGACCCCCCUUUUGAAAUAAAGUGGAUGUCCUAGAUGUGAAGUAUACCAAUUCAAAGCAAUUGAAUGCAGAAACAGAAACCAACAAACACUAGCUAUCCAAUUACCUACAUUAGAAAAUCUGGGGGAUGCAGACACAUAAUUUGGCUGAAGUCAAAUCAAGAUUUCAUCCAUAUCAACUUCUACUAGAAUAAUCUAUCAAUCCAAGUAGGACUUUUACGACAAAGCUGCUCUGUUAAAUCAUAGUCAACUGAGCAAACAUUAUACAGCUAUGUAAAUAUUAAAAGGUAAGUGGGAGCAGGGAGGGGGCUCUUCUAUUUUUUUCCCCAAAUCUUUGUAUUUGAGAAAAUAUUCUUCUUACAGGAGCCAACCCAAGUUCUGUCUCCUCCAUUCCAGCCAGUCAGCUCGCCUCUGUGGUCACAGAUUUAUUGGUCAUAACACUCAAGUAAUCAUCAAAUCACAGGCUUGAAAGAAUUUUCUUGAAGAAUUCCUCUGUAAAAUAUUUAUCAAUUAAGAAUCCAGAGUCCAUUUUAUUACUUCCAGUGACUGAGUUCACUGUCUCCCAAGAAAGUCAGUCAUGCUUUUGAGCAGUUUUAUUUACUUUAAACAUUUACCUGCCAUUUUGAAAUAGUUAUGUGCUGGUCAUAAUUCUGCCCAGUAAAGCCCUUUGAAAAAGUCUAAUCUUCCUUCCCCAAGAGAGUCUUUUAUCUACUUAAAGUAAAAACAAAACAUGGCUCCCUUCCUUUUCUCUUAUCUAGGCUUACCCUCCCUCUGGCACAACACCCACACUGCAAAGGGAAGUUAGGUCAAAAGGGUGAGUGGGAGCUGAAAUUCAGGCCACACUCUCCAUGCUAGGUGUUGAGCUCCAACAUGGGGCUGUAGACAACCACAGGAGAGGAUGUCUUUUAUAAUUUUCAUGAAGGCACCCCCCCACCCCGAUUAAGUACUCUUGCCAAACUUUCCACCUGCAGGACUUACUUUAUCUGGAGAAGUGACCUUAUUCAGGCACCGAUGUUGUAUAUGUCAGGGAAUCUGUGUUCCUUACAUGACAUGAUGUCAAAUCUCCCCUCUGUGGUUCUUUCCUAAAUUCUUCUAUUGCUAUCACCAUGCCUACAUCAGCAGCUUCUCAAAGAUAGAUUUUUCUUAAUCUGUUUUUUUCUUAAAACUUGUAUCUGUAUAUACAAUAAAGUAUACUUUAAUACCAUUUUUAUUAUUCCACAAUUUAGGUCUUCAAUAGAGCUUGUCUAAUUACUAUAUCAAAGUUGAAUUCUUUGACCUGGUUUUCAAAGACCAUCGUCUUUGGUUUAACCUGAAUUUGGUUUAACCUGAAAUUUUAACUCAACCGGUUCAAAACUGAACUGAUCAUCAUUAUCCCCAAACCCACUUCUUUACUAUGUUCUUUCUUUUACUAAUUGAAGUAUAGUUGAUUUACAGUGUUUCAUGUGUACAGCAAAGUGAUUCAAAGUUUUAUAUAUAUCUAUAUAUAAGUAUAUAUAUACAUACUUUUUCAGAUUCUUUUCCAUUAUAGGUUAUUACAGAGUAUUGAGUAGAGUUCCCUGUGCUAUACAGUAGGUCCUAGUUGUUUCCCUAUUUUAUAUAUAGUAGUGUAUAUCUGUUUACUAUGUUCUUUUAAUUGUAUCACCAUCUACCCAGUCACCAUGAAAGGAAUCUUGGGCUCUUUUCUUAAUUUCCACUUCUCCUUCACUUUCACACUCAGUUGGUCACCUAGUCCUGGUACUUCUACAUUUGCAUUCCCUUAUAUAUCCUUUCUACUCAUGACUCUCCAUUUCUACUUUUCCUGCCUAAGUUUAGGUUGCUACCUCUGACUUACAGCCUCUAGUCCAGCCAUCCAAUAUUUUACCAUGAGGCUUGCUAUCUAAAUUUCAAAUUAAUAGGGCCUUAUACUGCUUUAACACCUUUUUUGAUGGUUUUCUAUUUAUGUAAAUGGAAGAAUAUCUAAUUCAUUUGGCAGAGGUUUCAAAAUAUUUGAAAUCUUUCUGUCCCCAAUUGGCUCUCCAUAAUGGAAAUAUCAUGGACAUCUAUGGCUGUGUGCUUCAGAUGGUUCCCACUGCUUUAUAACUGGUGCUUUCUACUUCUUCCCAAAUGUCAACAGCCAUCAUGGCUAUAAUAACCUAAUUAUCUUUACUUCUAGUUCAUCCCAGUUAUCAGUGACCUUAAACAAUAAUCACUGUUCAUAAUCCAUAAAGGAACUAGUAGUAGGGAUUAAUUUAUGGUAACUAAAAUAAGUCCUCUCAGAAUGGCACUUUAAAUUUUACCAUAAUUUCUGUCUUUCUGUUUUUAAAUGUCCAACAUACAUGUAUCACUUUUACUCUCAGUAGACUCUGUCUUGUUGUAAAUGGCAACAUCAUAGUUGAGUAUUAAUUAUUUGUACCUUUGCUUGUUAUCUAGCACUUCGUGAUUUUUAUGUACUUUCUUACAUUUCUAUUUGUAGUCUACAAAUCCACAGAAUGUGGAAUCUUCACAUAAGGCUGUGACCACAUGCUUUUAACUAUGUUGGCAAAAACAUUUACUAACCAUUUUCCCACCAAACUAAGUAACAUCAGAGGAUUUUAACCUGUGAGAAGUUAGGUCAGAAUCUGUUUUAAAUUUGCUCUGCAUAUGUUUGUUAUGUUGGAAUAUUAAGAUGGUCUAAUGAAAAAAAAAAUUAAAUAAAGGUUCUUAAGAGCAGAAAUCUUACUUGGCUCCUUGUCAUCAAACUUUCCUAACAGUUCAAGUAGAGAUAGGAUAGACCAAAAAUUCUCCUUAGGGUUUAAAAUCAUUUGAAACCCACAGAUAGGAGGGUGAGCUGAGUCAUAUCUAAGCCUAGGAUACACCAGAGUAUCCAGACUUCCUACAUUUUUCAGAAGUGAUAGAGAUCUGCUGUCUCCAAGCCCACUACUGUCUUGCUUGACCAACAUAUUACUUUAAACAAAGAAACAAAAACAAACAAAAGGGGGUGAGGGUGCUACCCUGACAACAUUCUUCUGUUGGAGAACAGUUUCAAAGUUUCAUGGAACAGUUUCAUGGUUGGGGAUGCCAUGAGCACAGGGAGAAAAGAUUUGGCUCCCCAGUGAAUGGGCAACUUUUCGUAGAGCUUAAUUAUUGGAGUAAAUUAAAAAGUCAACACCUAACUGGCUUCACGUUUAUCCCGGAGGAUUUAAGCCUCCAGGAGGAAGAGCAGUUGGACUUGUAGCAACUCCUGGGGAUGUCCCACAGGCAGACUACUCCAGGAAGCCAUAGAUAUGAGCAAAAGUUUGGGAAUCCUAGAUUGAAGAUGGUGAUUGAAAAUGAAACCCAAGAAGGCAGUCUGAGCCAUCACAGAUGAAGAAGAAAAAAACCCCACAAAAUCAUUUCAAAAUUCAUAUCUUAUUUCCUUUGUCCUUUCUAUGGAGUGUGUAAUUAACAUUUAUGAUGUUUUAAUAUUAUUUGCCUCAUUUUGGAAAAUGCACGUCUCUAGAGUUGGUUCCCAUCAUUAGCAAUCGAUGAGAAGACUGGGGUAGGAUUUUACCUACCUAAGAAGACAAUGAAACCAUCUAAUUGUGAUCAGUCUGAACCAUAGGGCCAAAGUCUUUAAGAAUGUGGUUCAACCCACUUGUUUUAAUGGUGAGCGUCGCAUUGCCUUAUCUGAACGCUAGUAUUCUUUAAAAGAGUGUUUUUCAAACUACAUAUCAGGACCCAGUAGGGGUCAUUAAGUCAGUUUAAUUCGUUGGGACCAGCGUUUUUGAAAACUAACAUAAAAUAGAACUAAGCAGAACAGAAAACACAUUUCCUCACACAUGGGAAGGGUAAUGUAUUAGUCAGGAUAAGCUAACCUAUAUUUGAUAUCUAAGUGGCUUUAACACAAUAAAACAUUUCCUUCUCACUGGUAUAAAGCCAGUUCAGGUUAGUUGAGCCUCCUCUAUCUGACAGCUUCACAAUGUACAUCAUGUGGUCUCCAAGUCAGGGUAUAACCAACACUGAAGAGAGAGGUUGAGGGCCACACAAGGAAUAUUUAAGUUCCAGGCCUGGAAGCAGCUUGCAUCACAGCUGCCCACAUCCCAUGGGCCAGCCCUGGGUCACGUGAUCCCAAUCAAACUUGAAGGAGUGGGGCACAGUGCAGUCCUCCUGGGCACACAGAAGAGACAGUGGAAAGGACAUUUACACCCACUCUAUUUACACCCACUCUUCACUGAGUUCAGCAAGGAUGAGCUUCUGUAGAAUAAGCAUUGUACUUCAGAUAUUUUAACAAAUACCUCACCUUUCCUGGAAUAUUAGACAGCAAUUUUCUUUUCUUUUUCUGAAAAGAAGGCACUUUCUGUUAUCACUGGGUCAAAAACACAAGUUGGUUUUUAUGUAUUUGGAUUUUCCUAACAAGUUAAUUAAACUGACAUGUAUUGAACAUCUGUUAGUGUAUCCGGCCCCAUGUAAGAAUCAAAGAUGGAGGGGACAGUGGUUCUUCCCCUUUCUCCAUCAUCUCUUUCUAUAUCAGCAUCAUUUCUUCAAUCAUGUGCUCCCACUGAGCUGCACCAGAAGCCUGACAUUAGAGACUGCUUUUUGCCCUAAAAAGUUGCAAAUAUGCAAAAUGUCCUAAUCUGAGAAAAACUGUUACCUUAUCGUGAAGAACUUCAACUCUGGUGAAGAAUUGCUAGUGGACUAGACGACCUGCCUGUGAAUUCCUUUUGCACAGCCUCUCUGUGUAGAUUCUGUAUCCAUCAUCCCUUAGUCUUUACAGCCUUGGCACCUGCCUCUAACUACAUACUGCUGUGGAUUGAAUUGUGUUCUCCUGCACCCACCCCCAGCCCAAUUCAUAUGCUGAUGCCCUAACCUCCAAUGUGACUGUAUUUGGAGACAGAGAUUUUAGGAGGAAAUUAAGGUUAAAUGAGGUCAUAAGGGUGGGACCCCAAUCCUAUAGGUCUGGUGACCUUAUAAGAAGAGGAAGAGACGGCGGACUGUUUUCUCCUUCAGCAUGACCAAGACCACAUGAACACGCAGGGAGAAGGCAGUGGGUCUGCCAGAAAGAGAAGCUUUCACCAGAACCUGACCAUGCUGGCACCCUGAUCUCGAACUUCUAGCCUCCAGAACUGUAGGAAAAUAAAGUUCUGUUGUUUAAGCCACCCAGUGAUGGUGUUUUAUUGUGGCAGCCCAAGCAGACUAAGACAAGUGCCGACCUUGGAUAAUCAGUAAUGAUAUAUAGCAUUAAAUAUCUCCUUCUCUGUGCAGGUUGCUCUCACCUGUCCAAGCAAUCUUUCUGUCACUUGAGGACUUUGCAGACACACUGUAUCCAUCACACUCUACUGUCGUUACUUGAGUACACAUUUUCUCAUCUACUCAAAUGUAAGUUCCUAGAGAAGAGAGAUCAGUCCAAAGAUAACACCUAAUGGUGGGAACACAUGAAACCACCAUCAGAGGCAAGCGUUAUCUCCUUUUGCAAAUGAGAAAACUAGCUCUGAUAUGACCCUGAGGUCAGGCUGUAAGCAAUCUGUGGAACUAAGAUUUCAACCAAUGGAUGUUGAUCUCCAAGGAAAAUUUUAUUUUAAUAAUAAAAGUUAUAAGCCUCCGCUCUUCCCUUUCCUCCUAUCUUGCCAAAUUUUUGGACCUGGUACCAGAACACUAGCUCAGCCCUGAGCACUGAACCGUCUCUUUAUUAUUUACUUCUCUGCUUUUCCAACAUCUCUGCCGCUUAAAUCCUUUCAGCUUUAUUUGUCCUAGGUCCACAACCCAGGGCCAUCUACAUUAUUGGAGCUGACACUUUGAUUAAAACAAUGCAAUAUUGUAACAUUGACUGCCUCUGUAUUUAAUUAUUUAACAAUGCUUUCCUUAGUGUGUUAGUUAUUAUAACAUAGCUAAUGAAUCAAUUUAAUUAGAUAUAAACAAGUUUAUUUUGUUUUCUGUUAAAAAUCCAAUUCUCUUCUUCAUCAUAUUUACCGCUACAAAAUAACAAGCUAAGUCCUUUAAAUCACUUAAAUCCAUGGGGUUUAUGCCAUCAGGUUAAGAAAUUUUUUGCCAUCACAAGUCUUUAAUUACUUUUCCCACUCAUAGUAGGCACUCACAAGUAAGAUACAAUAUGAAUUUCUUGAACUAUUGCAAAACAAAGAAGAAGAAAAAUCACGCUCCUUAAAAGCAAAAGCCUGAUCAUCAUCAUAUUUUGAUGAUUCAGAUAAUGGGCAGUAAUAUAAAUAGACUAAUGAAAUUAAGAGUGAUUCAUAUUCACUCCCUGGUGCAACUGGCUUCACUAAAGAAAGCACGAUGCUAUUCUAAGGCUAAAGGAAGCUCAUUCUUUUAGCUGAACAUUUAAAUAUGCCAUUUUAAAACAAGUGCUUUGUUUAAAUUUGAUUGACUCUUCUCAAACCAUAUGGCCUUAAAAUAUUUAUGAGUCAUUUUGGGUUGAAUGCAAGACAUAUUGGCUGUAAAAAGUACAUUAAAAAUAAUGCUAGUAAUAAUCUAUAAUAUUAUUUUCAAGAUAAGUCUUUUCCUGAUCACUGGUAAUAUCAUUUUUCUUACUCUUAGUUACCAUCUUUAUUUCUUAAAAAUGAUCCCAAGUUUUAGCUCAAAGAUGUUCUCACUACAGAGUUCCAAAUAAGUUAAUAACCUGUUGUAAGAACAGUGGGAACGAGACAGAAUAAAUUGAAGCCACCAUUCCAAUUAAUCUUUGCUCAGUUCUAGCUUUUAGGUUUCUCCAGACUCUGGGAUCAGGGAUUUCAUGGAGAAAAAAAAAUCAAAAUCCCCAAACUACCAAACUGCCCUACCAAAUAUACUCCCUGUCUUUGGAUAUUCCAAAAGAAGAGUUCCAUGGUGCAAGAUAAGCUCCCAAUGCAGCACGAUAGUAAAUGGAUGACAGCCUAGAUCCAUUGAUUCUAGUGCUUAAAAAAAGAAAAGAAUGCAUAUAAAGGGACUGGCAUUGUUAUUGACUUCUAUUUAUUUUUGUUAGGGUUUUUAGUCCCAGGCCAGUUGUCCCUUAAUUGCUCAGCAAGGUCUUGGGUAGCUUUCUGUUCAACCUAUAUGUUCCCAUGGAAUGCAAUCUAAUUGCAAAUAUUGGCUAUCCAUGAAUCAUGUAAAUCUCAUUCCUUGGAAAGCCACAGGUAAGUUUCCCCACUAGGAAUACAUUCAUUCCAAUGAUCUGUUAUUCUGGAUUAUUCACAUUGCUGCCCUUGUUCAGCCAUUCAAUGUACAUCUUUUGUGUGUCUACCAGAUGGCUAAUGUCUUUAGCAUGGGAAAAACAAAAUGAGAAGACACUAUUCCCACCCUCAACAAGCAUACAGGAUGGCAAUGUGUUAGGAAUUAGUGUGUUUGAAUCCUUACAACAACUGCCUUGAAUGGGGUAGGUGUCACCAUCCCCAUUUACAGAUGGGAACAACAGAAGACAUAAACCUGAACCUCAGAAAGGUUAAAUAUUAUUAAGUCCAAGGUCACAGAGUUAAUACGUUACAAAAUUUGAGUUCACAUCAAAGGUAGCUCUACCUAGUUCCCAAACCUAUGAUCCUUUUAUUAUUAAUUUCUGCUUUCCUUUAUCAGUUUAAAAAACAAAAAAAUUACUGAAUUUAUUUUGUUUCUAAGUCUUCCUCAAAACUUCCCUAUUCAUUAUUCCUAAAAAUUGACAUUUUACUAUCUUGUAUACCAAAACUUUAAUACAUUUGCUUUUUUAUAUAAAAAUAAUACUAUUUUAAAAUAUUUUAGGCACUAAAAUACCAUACAGGGUCUUGUGUCAUAAAUAUGUUUUUACUUCCCCCACUUUCAGAGAGAAGAGGUGCACAGGGACCUCCCCAGAUUGAGCCCCAUUCUUCAGGCCAGUCAUGGGGGUGAAACGGCUGGAAUUAGAGAGUGUGGUCAUGAAGAAGCAUUGCCUGAAGAAGAGCCAGAAAGUACUCUUAGUCAUUCUAGAAUUUGAGGAGUGAUUUUUAACAUGCCAGGAAGAAGUGAGUCAAUAAGGAAGAAUGUAAAUCAAAAGGGUAGAAGUAAAAGGAAAAACACAGUCACUUUUAUGUAAAUUGAAAGAUCUGCUUUUGCCAAAAGGAAAUUCUGGGAAAGAUCUUGCCUGCACAUCAGCAAAAUGCAGGCAAAUUCCCUUUUGUUUUCAUCCUUCUGUCAGGAAAACUUUUCCCAGACCAGUGGGGCAUGUAGGACUAGAAUGGAAACAGGAUGGAUUGAAAAUUAUCUUUACUAUGAAAUCAUAAAAGGUACAAAGAGGUAGUUUUUUUUUUUUCUUUCUUUCUUUUUCUUGAGCAAUUUUCAAGACUGCCAUAUGAGCUGGACUAAGCUCCAGGGCUAAGACCAAGCCUUUUCUAGACCCUUUCUAGAUUUAAAUUGUAGCCAAGAGGUCAAUCAUUUUAAUUUUGUCAAUCCUACAGAACCUAAGAUUAUAGGGAACAAACUGUAUAUUCUGCAAUGGAUAUUCACCCCAUUUCAUUAAAAAAAAAAGUUUUUCUUUAAUUACAAAAAGUAGUCAUUUGUGGUGGGUUUUUGAUAUAAAAUAUUAUUCAUUUUAGCUUAUAAAAACAUUUUUAGGACUAAUUGUCAAACUGACAUUUCAUAUUUUAUUACAUAAUUUCUAUUUUAAAGCAUGUAAUAUGAGAUCCUUCACCCCUGUGUAAUUUUGUGAAAGAGUGUGACCUUUGAAAAAUAAAUUAUCCAUGCAUUUUUGGAAACCUGAGAAGUCUUUAUCAAUAUCCUUCUAAAUAUUUUAUAUGUUUUCUCUAAAAUCCCCACUUUUUUGUCAGAAAAUUACUAUAAAAUCUCUAUUUCGAUAAUGGCCCCUGAAUUUGUUUUUUUUUUUUUUUAAUUGCUGUUGUAACAAAUGAUCACAAACUUAGUGGCCUAAACAACAUACAUAAGUCUAUUAUCUCACAGUUCUAUAGAUCAGAAGUCCAGGAUGGGUCUCACCAGGGCAAAAUCAAAGUGCUGGAACCAAUGCCCUAGGGAUACCAAGGGAUGACUCUAUGCAGUUGUAGAACUGAUAUUGAUGCCAAAAUUCGGCCUCAGAAUACAGGUACAGAAUUGAAUCUUGGAGACAGAGUUUUGGGUGAAAUAGAAAAGAAUAGCUUUAUUGCUUUGCCAGGCAAAGGGUACCACAGAGGUAAUGCCCUCAAAACUGUGUCCCCACCUGGAGGUGGUAGUGAGGAGUUUUAUAGUAAUGGUUCAAAGAGGAGGGCGUGAUCAGCUCAUGGACAUUCGUUUGGUGCUGAGGUAAGUGGGAGUUGGCAUCAUCAACCUUCUGGUUCCAAGCGGUCUGUGGUCUACUUGCUUGUGGGCAGCAUACAGUUCACCUCUCCACCUGGUAGGGAUUUCAGUAUCUGCAAAACAGCUCAAAGAUAUUGUUAUGUAUAUCCCUUGAGGGAGAACCAGGACCCUGCUCCAAGGCUGCACUAUUGUUUCUUGACUGCUCUUCCCCUGUCUCUGCAUCCCCUCCCUUCCCUGAUUAGCAACUGUUUGAACCUGCUCUUUGGAACUCAGGGAGGGUCAUGGAUGCUGAAUGAAGCCUAUUUCCUUACACUCCAAUAAAGAUGUUAAAAAAAAGAAUUCAUAGCAACAAACCUGGAAUCUCAAAAAAAAAAAAGGAAAGAAAAGAAAGGGGGGACACAGAAAGGCUUUUGCGCCCAGGAGCUCCAGAGGGUCCUGCUCGGUUUCAAGAUCUCUGUUUCCUUACUGUCAGCAGGGGGGACCCGUUAGCUCCUAGAGAAAAACCUCUCUCCAAUGCUUGCCCGUGGUCCCUGAACCAGCAGCAAAGUGUCAGGAUCAUUCUCACACUGCCACCUCUCACUCACUAAAGCCAGAAGAGGUUCUCAACUUUUAAGGCCACAUGUGAUUAGAUUGACUGCACAGAGAUAACCUAGAAUAAUUUUUCUGUCUUAAAAUCCUUACGCUCAAUCACUUCUGUAAAAUCCCUUUUGCCUUGUAGGGUAAUAUAUUCACAGGUUUGGGGAUAAAAAUGAGAACAUACGAGGGCCAUUAUUUUGUCUCUCAUGGCACCUCCACUGCAGUGGAGAACUGGAUUUCUUCAGAUGAACUAGCUUUCCCGGUAACUCUCUUAAAUGAAAGUGGAUCAUUGUCCUAAAUUUAUAAUAUUUCAGAACCAGGAGAUACGAUCAAGAUCCACCUCCUUUCCUUUCUCACUGCCACUUUGUCUUUGUGUGUCCACCCUCAUUUAAUUUCCCUUCCUACUUUUUUUGCCUAUAUGACUCUACUAUUUUUUUUUACCAGGAUUUUUCUUAACUUCAGGAAGCUCCCCUUCAUGUUCAGCGUUCUUGAAACCUGCACCAGAUUCCCUCGAGACCUGCCUUACCUCAUUGGAUCAGUGACAAGUGAAGUCGGCAUUUAUUACCACAUUCCUGGCAGAAAUUGAUAAUCACCUAUGUCUGGAAAAGAGAAAAACAUCUGACAAGGCUUGACAAUGAGAGAGACACACACACAGAGAAUGAACAAGAUUGAGAGGAAACAGAUAAAACAUUAUGAAAAAAGAGAUGAUAUAACCAAAGUUGUAGUUGUGGUCAGAGAGGCCUGUGACAACAGAGAAUGGGCCAGAGAAACAUGACAUUGCUGGCUUUGAAGAUAGAGGAAGGGGCCCAUGAGCCAAGGAAUGUGGGUGAUUUCUAGAAGCUGAAAAAAGCAAGGAAAGAACAUUUUCCCAAGAGCCUUAAGAAAGGAACACAGCCUGCUAGCACAUUGAUUUUUGUCCAGAAAGAUCCAUGUCAGACUUCUGACCUACUGAACUGUAAGAUAAUAAAUUUGUAUUGUUUUAAGCAA
Long non-coding RNA from Orcinus orca (killer whale), 15743 nucleotides. RefSeq lists it as uncharacterized. Lineage: Eukaryota; Metazoa; Chordata; Mammalia; Artiodactyla; Delphinidae. The record is from RefSeq and is a predicted model, not a curated record. The transcript has 4 exons.